UGGGGAAUCUUGCGCAAUGGGCGAAAGCCUGACGCAGCGACGCCGCGUGAGUGAUGAAGGCCUUCGGGUUGUAAAGCUCUGUGGAGAGGGACGAAUAAGUCGUGGCUAACAUCCACGAUGAUGACGGUACCUCUUUAGCAAGCACCGGCUAACUCUGUGCCAGCAGCCGCGGUAAGACAGAGGGUGCAAACGUUGUUCGGAAUUACUGGGCGUAAAGCGCGUGUAGGCUGCCCUGCAAGUCGGAUGUGAAAGCCCUGGGCUCAACCUAGGAAGUGCAUUCGAAACUGCGGGGCUGGAGUCCUGGAGAGGAUAGCGGAAUUCUCGGUGUAGAGGUGAAAUUCGUAGAUAUCGAGAGGAACACCGGUGGCGAAGGCGGCUAUCUGGACAGUGACUGACGCUGAGACGCGAAAGCGUGGGGAGCAAACAGG
Molecule: ribosomal RNA, 428 nt
Filed under: uncultured bacterium
Lineage: Bacteria
Description: bacterial SSU rRNA
Rfam family: Bacterial small subunit ribosomal RNA
Source: RNAcentral